Molecule: unclassified non-coding RNA, 262 nt
Filed under: plant metagenome
Description: partial contains small subunit ribosomal RNA, internal transcribed spacer 1, and 5.8S ribosomal RNA
Source: RNAcentral
UCUCCGUUGGUGAACCAGCGGAGGGAUCAUUACCGAGUUUACAACUCCCAAACCCCCAUGUGAACGUUACCAAACUGUUGCCUCGGCGGGAAAUUCAUGCCCCGGGCGCGUCGCAGCCCCGGACCAAGGCGCCCGCCGGAGGACCAACCAAAACUCUUUUGUAUGUCCCUCGCGGACUUUUAUAAUUCUGAACCAUCUCGGCGCCCCUAGCGGGCGUUUCGAAAAUGAAUCAAAACUUUCAACAACGGAUCUCUUGGUUCUG